AUGAACUUUAACCAUAAUUUUAAAUUAUUCACUAUUGUCCCAUUCAAUGUCUAUAACAACAACAUUAUAUCAAAAAAAAAAAAGAAGAAAGAGAAAAGUAAAAACGACAUGAUAACAAUUUAUUUGUGUUAUUGUUUCUUUAGUUUUUGUUUACAGAUUAAAGAGAAGAAGCACAAGAUCCAAACACCGCCUCCCAGAAAUCACUGA
Vicia faba (fava bean) is the source of this 207-nucleotide non-coding RNA. Lineage: Eukaryota; Viridiplantae; Streptophyta; Magnoliopsida; Fabales; Fabaceae. The record is from the annotation of a GenBank genome assembly.